GAGGAGGAAGCCCAAAAAGAAGAUUUCUGGAUGUGAUGAGGGAGGACAUGCACGUGGUUGGUUUGACAGAGGAGGAUUCAGAGGACAGGGUUAGAUGGAAACAAUUGAUCUGCUGUGGUCACCCCUAACGGGAACUGC
Long non-coding RNA from Thalassophryne amazonica, 138 nucleotides. RefSeq lists it as uncharacterized. The record is from RefSeq and is a predicted model, not a curated record. The transcript has 4 exons. NCBI's taxonomy places the organism in Eukaryota, Metazoa, Chordata, Actinopteri, Batrachoidiformes, Batrachoididae.